Molecule: long non-coding RNA, 986 nt
Filed under: Monodelphis domestica (gray short-tailed opossum)
Lineage: Eukaryota; Metazoa; Chordata; Mammalia; Didelphimorphia; Didelphidae
Description: lncRNA (ENSMODG00000035732.2)
Source: RNAcentral
GUCACAGAGAUCUCCAAUGGCAGCAUCAGGAUUGGCUCUUAAGAUGUUGGACUCUGAAUCCAGCUUGCCUUCAUCUCCUUCACAAUGGGCUCUCACAGCUGCUGCUGAAUCUACCCCUUUUCUCACCCAAAGCAAACAGAGCAGGUCCCUCCCGCCUUCCAGAAUUCCCUGAGUGACACCCUGAGCCUACGUUAAGGAGAGGAGCAAAACUGGACAGCAGGCCUUGUGGGUGAAUAUUUGCCAUUCUGAAGGAGUCAGGAGGAUUGGAGUGAUCCCGUGGCGGCCAGCACUAUCUGGACCAGCUGCUCCCUCCUCCUCUGGAGGGAGAACCCAAGUAAUGAGCUUCAGGCUCAGGCUGGGACAACCCAUUGCUGUUACCAUGGAGGCAGAGCUCAGGAAAGGUUCGGCUGGGUAAUUAUUGCAAACAUCUAUCCUGCCUCCCGCUCCCCGACACCCUCGCUGGGGAAAAUCAGAGGCAGAGAGAGAGCUCCCAGCACCAACGAAGGCAGGCCGGGGACAGCCCCCCUCGGCCUUCUUCCCUCCACCCCCAUCCCCCGCCCGGCCUGGCAAGAUGCCGAGGCAAGCUAUGAAGAGGAGAGAAAAAGAAAUCCAGGCCAUGGGAUCAGACCUGGGCGUGGGGCAGCGGCGAUGGCAGCGCUCCACUCCUCAGAGGGGACUCCUCUUGGGGGUCACGAGGAGGCCCCCCAGACGUCAGUGCCAUAGUCCUGGGCCACACCUUUGCUAAGAGUCUGGGGGUGUUUCUACAGUAAACCUUUGCCCCCGCCAUCAUUCCUUAGACCCCUCCCCAGCCCCUCGAACUAAACUGGAACUCAUUUCUAUCCAUGCUUCCUAGAAGGGAAAAAACCCCCGCAAUGGAACCUUUUUUGUUCAGUUAGAGAACCAGAGCUACAAGGAACCUUAGAAACCCCACGACCAGCCCCCCAGUUUUGGAAAUAAAGAUGCUAAAGCCCGGGAAAGGGAAAUCA